UUUGGUUGUCCUGGGGUAAGCAUGUAGGGCGGAACGUAGGUAAAUCCGCGUUCUAUUCAGCCUGAGAUGUGAUGCCGAGCCGAUUGUGGUGAAGUGGAUGAUCCUAUGCUGCCGAGAAAAGCCUCUAGUGAGUGUUGUGGCGGCCCGUACCCUAAACCGACUCAGGUGGUCAGGUAGAGAAUACCAAGGCGAUCGGGUGAACUGUGGUUAAGGAACUCGGCAAAUUGCCCCCGUAACUUCGGGAGAAGGGGGACCUCUGCUGGUGAUGGGCUUUACGUUCUGAGCUGGUGGGGGUCGCAGUGGCCAGGGGGAAGCGACUGUUUACUAAAAACACAGGUCCGUGCGAAGUCGUAAGACGAUGUAUACGGACUGACGCCUGCCCGGUGCCGGAACGUUAAGGGGACCGCUUAGCCAACGCGAGUUGGCGAAGGUGAGAACUUAAGCGCCGGUAAACGGCGGUGGUAACUAUAACCAUCCUAAGGUAGCGAAAUUCCUUGUCGGGUAAGUUCCGACCUGCACGAAUGGCGUAACGACUUCCCCGCUGUCUCAACCACAGACCCGGCGAAAUUGCACUACGAGUAAAGAUGCUCGUUUCGCGCAGCAGGACGGAAAGACCCCGGGACCUUCACUACAGCUUGACAUUGGCGUUUGGAACGUCUUGUGUAGGAUAGGUGGGAGACUGGGAAGCUGUCACGCUAGUGAUGGUGGAGUCAUUGGUGAAAUACCACUCUGGUCGUUUUGAACGUCUAACUCUGGUCCGUGAUCCGGAUCGGGGACAGUGUCUGGUGGGUAGUUUAACUGGGGCGGUUGCCUCCUAAAGAGUAACGGAGGCGCCCAAAGGUUCCCUCAGCCUGGUUGGCAAUCAGGUGUUGAGUGUAAGUGCACAAGGGAGCUUGACUGUGAGACUGACAGGUCGAGCAGGAGCGAAAGCUGGGACUAGUGAUCCGGCAUCGGCGUGUGGAAGCGGUGUCGCUCAACGGCUAAAAGGUACCCCGGGGAUAACAGGCUGAUCUUCCCCAAGAGUCCAUAUCGACGGGAUGGUUUGGCACCUCGAUGUCGGCUCGUCGCAUCCUGGGGCUGGAGUAGGUCCCAAGGGUUGGGCUGUUCGCCCAUUAAAGCGGUACGCGAGCUGGGUUUAGAACGUCGCGAGACAGUUCGGUCCCUAUCCGCUGCGCGCGCAGGAGACUUGAAGGGGGCUGUCCCUAGUACGAGAGGACCGGGACGGACGAACCUCUGGUGUGCCAGUUGUACCGCCAGGUGCACGGCUGGUUGGCUACGUUCGGAAGGGAUAACCGCUGAAAGCAUCUAAGCGGGAAGCUCGCCUUGAGAUGAGGUCUCCCACCCCGUGAGGGGGUAAGGCUCCCGGUAGAUCACCGGGUUGAUAGGCCGGAGGUGGAAGCACGGUAACGUGUGGAGCUGACCGGUACUAAUAGGCCGAGGACUUGACC
This 1448-nucleotide ribosomal RNA is filed under the name metagenome. RNAcentral's name for it is "bacterial LSU rRNA". It matches the Rfam family "Bacterial large subunit ribosomal RNA", at positions 1497 to 2925 of the family's 2925-position model. The record is from RNAcentral.